AGAGUUUGAUCAUGGCUCAGGAUAAACGCUGGCGGCGUGCCUAAAACAUGCAAGUCGAACGGACCAUUUCGGUGGUCAGUGGCGAACGGCUGAGUAACACGUGGGUGACCUGCCCUCGAGCGGGGGAUAACUGCCCGAAAGGGUGGCUAAUACCGCAGACAUCACGGGUUCGUUCUCGUGAUUGAACUUAUCGGGGUUCGGGGAGGGGCCCGCGGUCGAUUAGCUAGCUGGUGGGGUAACGGCCUACCAGGGCUGCGAUCGAUAGCUGGUCUGAGAGGAUGAUCAGCCAGACUGGGACUGCGAACGGUCCAGACUCCUACGGGAGGCAGCAGUGGGGAAUUUCGCGCAAUGGGCGAAAGCCUGACGCAGUAACGCCGCGUGGAGGAUGAAGGCCUUCGGGUUGUAAACUCCUGUCAGGGGGAACGACGGGGAGAGGGUGAUAAAUCCUUUCCUCCAGACGGUACCUCCAAAGGAAGCCCCGGCUAAUUCCGUGCCAGCAGCGGCGGUAAUAC
This 512-nucleotide ribosomal RNA is filed under the name uncultured bacterium. Its description in RNAcentral is "bacterial SSU rRNA". It matches the Rfam family "Bacterial small subunit ribosomal RNA", at positions 8 to 526 of the family's 1533-position model. The record is from RNAcentral.